Molecule: long non-coding RNA, 193 nt
Organism: Thalassophryne amazonica
Lineage: Eukaryota; Metazoa; Chordata; Actinopteri; Batrachoidiformes; Batrachoididae
Exons: 3
Source: RefSeq, a predicted model, not a curated record
GAGGCUCUUAUCGUCUUCGAGGAUGCUGGACCAACACCCAGUCAGCUGGAUCUGAGAAUUGCAGAGAAACUCCAGCCGAGUUUAGUCACAACUAAACACGAUCUGAAGGACGAAUCGUAUAAAAACACAAAGAGGGCCACAACAUUCCGGGAGAGUUACACGCUACACAUGGAUUCUUUUCCUGAAAGACCAG